Molecule: ribosomal RNA, 432 nt
Filed under: uncultured bacterium
Lineage: Bacteria
Description: partial 16S ribosomal RNA
Rfam family: Bacterial small subunit ribosomal RNA
Source: RNAcentral
ACGAACGCUGGCGGCAUGCCUAACACAUGCAAGUCGAACGAGACCUUCGGGUCUAGUGGCGCACGGGUGCGUAACGCGUGGGAACCUGUCCUUAGGUUCGGAAUAACUCCCCGAAAGGGGUGCUAAUACCGGAUAAUGUCUUCGGACCAAAGAUUUAUCGCCUUUGGAUGGGCCCGCGUUGGAUUAGCUAGUUGGUAGGGUAAAAGCCUACCAAGGCGACGAUCCAUAGCUGGUCUGAGAGGAUGAUCAGCCACACUGGGACUGAGACACGGCCCAGACUCCUACGGGAGGCAGCAGUGGGGAAUAUUGGACAAUGGGCGAAAGCCUGAUCCAGCAAUGCCGCGUGAGUGAUGAAGGCCUUAGGGUUGUAAAGCUCUUUUACCCGGGAUGAUAAUGACAGUACCGGGAGAAUAAGCUCCGGCUAACUCCGUG